This 2945-nucleotide ribosomal RNA is filed under the name marine metagenome. Its description in RNAcentral is "bacterial LSU rRNA". It matches the Rfam family "Bacterial large subunit ribosomal RNA". The record is from RNAcentral.
GAAAGAGCGCACGGUGGAUGCCUUGGCAUCAAGGGGCGAUGAAGGACGCGGCAAGACUGCGAUAUUCCUCGGCUAGCUGUCUAGCAAGCUUAACCGGGGGUUUCCGAAUGGGGCAACCCGGCCAGGUAAAACCUGGUCACUCUCAGCUCAACACAUAGGCUGAGUAGAGGCAACCAGGGGAAGUGAAACAUCUCAGUACCCUGAGGAAAAUAUAAGAUUCUCUUAGUAGCGGUGAGCGAAAAGGGAAAAGCCCAAACCUUAUAAGCUAAGUGGUUUAACGGCCUAAGCUUAUAAGGGGUUGUAAGACAGGUGACGUCCGGCGUUAAACGGGCAAAGGAGUUACAAACCGAACUCUAGUUGAAGGUCUCUGGAAAGAGCCACCAUAGACGGUGAUAGUCCGGUAAACGAAAGAGCUAGGCUCCUUAAUUUGAUCUUAAGUACCACGGGACACGAGAAAUCUUGUGGGAAUCUGCCAUGACCACAUGGUAAGGCUAAAUACUCUUGAUGACCGAUAGUGGACUAGUACCGUGAGGGAAAGGUGAAAAAUACCCCGAGAGGGGAGUGAAAUAGAUCUGAAACCGUGCGCUUACAAGCAGUCGGAGCCCUUCUUCGGAGGGGUGACGGCGUGCCUAUUGAAGAAUGAGCCGACGAGUUAAUCUGUGUAGCCUGGUUAAGCAACUACGUUGCGGAGCCGUAGCGAAAGCGAGUCUGAAUAGGGCGUUUUGUUGCAUGGAUUAGACCCGAAGCCGGGUGAGCUAUCCAUGGUCAGGGUGAAGCUUCGAUAAUCUCGAAGUGGAGGCCCGAACCGGUCAACGCUGCAAAGUUGUCGGAUGAACUGUGGAUAGAGGAGAAAUUCCAAUCGAACCCGGGGAUAGCUGGUUCUCCUCGAAAUGUAUCUAGGUACAGCCUCGGAUGUUCACUUACGGAGGUAAGGCACUGGAUGGACUAGGUGGGAGAGAUCCUGUCGAAUUCAACCAAACCAAGAAUGCCGUAAGUUUAAAGUCCGGGAGUGAGACUAUGGGGGCUAAGCUCCGUAGUCGAAAGGGAAACAGCCCAGACCAUCAGCUAAGGUCCCUAAGUACAGACUAAGUGGUAAAGGAAGUUGAACUACCCAGACAGCCAGGAGGUUGGCUUAGAAGCAGCCAUCCUUUAAAGAUAGCGUAAUAGCUCACUGGUUAAGUGGUUCUGCGCCGACAAUCCAACGGGGCUCAAGUCUGUCACCGAAGCUAUGGACCUCGAUUCGUCGGGGUGGUAGAGGAGCGUUCCUCUCGCAGUGAAGUCGUUACGUGAGUAACGGUGGAGCGUGGGGAAGUGAGAAUGUCGGCAUGAGUAGCGUAAGGUGUGUGAAAAACACACCCACCGAAAACCUAAGGUUUCCUACGCAAGGUUAAUCCGCGUAGGGUUAGUCGGGCCUAAGCCGAGGCCGAAAGGCGUAGAGCGAUGGACAGCUGGUCAUCAUUCCAGCACCGCCGUUGUGGAGGCAAAGGGGCAACACGGGAGGAUAGGUUAGGCAUACCCAUUGGACAUGGUGUGUCACCGGUCAAAGGCGUUUGGGGGCAGGCAAAUCCACUCCCAAGUUAAGUUGAAGACCGGGGGAAGUUGAGGAGAGAUCCAAGACGAUUUAGUUGAUUCCAUACCGUCAAGAAAACCCUCGUUGCCAAUGAAGCAGUGGCGCCCGUACCGCAAACCGACUCUGGUAGGUGGGGGUAAAUGUCCCAAGGUGAUCGAGAUAACCCUCGUUAAGGAACUCUGCAAUCUAGCCCCGUAACUUCGGGAUAAGGGGUGCCUUUCUCUGAAAGGUGACACUAAAGGGGUCCAAGUGACUGUUUAUCAAAAACAUAGGUCUCUGCUAAAGCGUAAGCUGAUGUAUAGGGGCUGAUACCUGCCCAGUGCUGGAAGGUUAAGGGGAGAGGUUAGCGCAAGCAAAGCUUUGAACCGAAGCCCCAGUGAACGGCGGCCGUAACUAUAACGGUCCUAAGGUAGCGAAAUCCCUUGUCGGGUAAGUUCCGACCCGCACGAAUGGUGUAACAACUUGGACGCUGUCUUAACGAGGGACUCGGCGAAAUUGAAUUACCCGUGAAGAUGCGGGUUUCCCGCCACUGGACAAAAAGACCCCGUGGAGCUUUACUACAACUUGGCACUGAAACUGGGUUCACCUUGUGUAGGAUAGGUGGGAGGCUAUGAAGCCGGGGCGCCAGCCCUGGUGGAGCCAACGUUGAAAUACCACUCUCGAUGAAUUUAGUUUCUAACCCCGGAGCAAGCCGGGGGACAGUGUCUGGUGGGUAGUUUGACUGGGGCGGUCGCCUCCCAAACAGUAACGGAGGCGCCCAAAGGUCUCCUCAGGGUGGAUGGAAAUCACCCGUAGAGUGCAUUGGCAUAAGGAGGCUUGACUGCGAGACCAACAAGUCGAGCAGAGACGAAAGUCGGGCAAAGUGAUCCCACGGUUCCUUGUGGAAGGGCCGUGGCUUAACGGAUAAAAGCUACCCCGGGGAUAACAGGCUUAUCUUGCCCAAGAGUUCACAUCGACGGCAAGGUUUGGCACCUCGAUGUCGGCUCGUCGCAUCCUGGGGCUGGAAUCGGUCCCAAGGGUUGGGCUGUUCGCCCAUUAAAGCGGCACGCGAGCUGGGUUCAGACCGUCGUGAGACAGGUCGGUCUCUAUCCGUGGUGGGCGUCCGGAGAUUUGAGGGGGGCUUUCCGUAGUACGAGAGGACCCGGAAGGACGGACCAAUGGUGUAUCAGUUGUUCUGCCAAGGGCAUUGCUGAGUAGCCAAGUUCGGAACGGAUAAGCGCUGAAAGCAUCUAAGCGCGAAGCCGGCUCCAAGAUUAGAUCUCCCUUCCUUCGCGAGAAGGAUAAGACCGCAGGUAGACUACCUGCUUGAUAGGCCACAUGUGUAAGCAUAGUAAUGUGUUCAGCUAAGUGGUACUAAUGGUCAAGGGCUUGACUU